RNAcentral lists this non-coding RNA (116 nucleotides) under Actinophytocola xinjiangensis. RNAcentral describes it as "SAM-IV sequence". It matches the Rfam family "SAM (S-adenosyl methionine) riboswitch aptamer". Rfam says of the family: SAM-IV is a mRNA element that regulates gene expression via direct sensing of S-adenosylmethionine (SAM or AdoMet). The record is from Rfam by way of RNAcentral. Lineage: Bacteria; Bacillati; Actinomycetota; Actinomycetes; Pseudonocardiales; Pseudonocardiaceae.
GGUCAUGAGUGUCAGCGCGAAGCCCCGGCUCGCUGACCGGCAACCCUCCUACCGCGGUGGGGUGCCCCGGGUGAGGACCUGGCCCUCCGCGACGUGCGGACGGGCAAGCGCGGGCC